AUUGAACGCUGGCGGAAUGCUUUACACAUGCAAGUCGAACGGCAGCACGGACUUCGGUCUGGUGGCGAGUGGCGAACGGGUGAGUAGUGUAUCGGAACGUGCCCAGUCGUGGGGGAUAACGUAGUGAAAAUUACGCUAAUACCGCAUACGAUCUAUGGAUGAAAGCGGGGGAUCGCAAGACCUCGCGCGAUUGGAGCGGCCGAUAUCAGAUUAGGUAGCUGGUGGGGUAAAGGCCCACCAAGCCAACGAUCUGUAGCUGGUCUGAGAGGACGACCAGCCACACUGGAACUGAGACACGGUCCAGACUCCUACGGGAGGCAGCAGUGGGGAAUUUUGGACAAUGGACGCAAGUCUGAUCCAGCCAUUCCGCGUGCAGGAUGAAGGCCCUCGGGUUGUAAACUGCUUUUGUACGGAACGAAAAGGUCUCUCUUAAUACGGGGGACUCAUGACGGUACCGUAAGAAUAAGCACCGGCUAACUACGUGCCAGCCGCCGCGGUAA
Molecule: ribosomal RNA, 500 nt
Filed under: uncultured bacterium
Lineage: Bacteria
Description: partial 16S ribosomal RNA
Rfam family: Bacterial small subunit ribosomal RNA
Source: RNAcentral